CUACACUUGACAUCCCUUGCAUUACUCUUAAUCGAGGAAAUCCCUUCGGGGACAAGGUGACAGGUGGUGCAUGGUUGUCGUCAGCUCGUGUCGUGAGAUGUUGGGUUAAGUCCCGCAACGAGCGCAACCCUUGUCGUUAGUUACUACCAUUAAGUUGAGGACUCUAGCGAGACUGCCUGGGUUAACCAGGAGGAAGGUGGGGAUGACGUCAAAUCAUCAUGCCCCUUAUGUGUAGGGCUACACACGUGCUACAAUGGCUGGUACAGAGAGAUGCAAUACCGCGAGGUGGAGCCAAACUUUAAAACCAGUCUCAGUUCGGAUUGUAGGCUGAAACUCGCCUACAUGAAGCUGGAGUUACUAGUAAUCGCGAAUCAGAAUGUCGCGGUGAAUACGUUCCCGGGUCUUGUACACACCG
RNAcentral lists this ribosomal RNA (415 nucleotides) under bacterium enrichment culture DGGE gel band 343. RNAcentral's name for it is "bacterial SSU rRNA". It matches the Rfam family "Bacterial small subunit ribosomal RNA", at positions 975 to 1392 of the family's 1533-position model. The record is from RNAcentral.